CUUCUGAAAUCAAGGUAAAAAUAAUAAAGAAAAAAAAAAAAAGGAAAAAAUGAUGUCAUUUUUCUCUCCAUCUAUAAAGUGACACCUUUCUUUUUCUGUUGUUUUCCAUUCAUUUUUCCCCUUUUUUUCUGUUGAAUUUUUUCUGUUCUUUUAUUGUAAA
RNAcentral lists this non-coding RNA (160 nucleotides) under Platyophrya macrostoma. Lineage: Eukaryota; Ciliophora; Colpodea; Cyrtolophosidida; Platyophryidae. The record is from RNAcentral.